ACGCUCGACACCUACGGUAGGCAGCAGUUGGGAAUAUUGGACAAUGGAGGAAACUCUGAUCCAGUGACGCCGCGUGAAGGAAGAAGGUCUUCGGAUUGUAAACUUAUUUUGUCAGGGAAGAAAAAUGACUGUACCUGAAGAAAAAGCACCGGCUAACUACGUGCCAGCAGCCGCGGUAAUCUGAGCGGGCUGGCAAGGC
RNAcentral lists this ribosomal RNA (199 nucleotides) under uncultured bacterium. RNAcentral's name for it is "partial 16S ribosomal RNA". It matches the Rfam family "Bacterial small subunit ribosomal RNA", at positions 326 to 539 of the family's 1533-position model. The record is from RNAcentral.